This 76-nucleotide transfer RNA is filed under the name Streptococcus pneumoniae. Its description in RNAcentral is "tRNA-Met(cat)". It matches the Rfam family "tRNA". Rfam says of the family: Transfer RNA (tRNA) molecules are approximately 80 nucleotides in length. Their secondary structure includes four short double-helical elements and three loops (D, anti-codon, and T loops). Lineage: Bacteria; Bacillati; Bacillota; Bacilli; Lactobacillales; Streptococcaceae. The record is from RNAcentral.
CGCGGGAUGGAGCAGCUCGGUAGCUCGUCGGGCUCAUAACCCGAAGGUGUCGCAGGUUCGAAUCCUGUCUUCCCGA